GGGGAUGUACUGGUUUCGACAGGGAUGAUGAGCUUUUAUAAGCGAGCCGAGUUUCCUGACCUGGGGUACUCGUUAAAGAACUGGGUCAUUAAACACAAACGCAAACGAAAAUUUUGCAUUAGCUGCUUAAUUGCAGCGUCACCUUUAGGCCUUAUCUCAGCCGCCUAGAGCCUGACCAACCCCUGCUGAGGUCCCUUUCCCUGACACUUUUCUAGUCGUGGAAUAGCGGUACGAUAGAAAUAGCCACAUCACUUGAGCGUCGUUACUCGUGAGGUGUGGCGAACCCCUAAUUAACGACUGCGCUCGGAGAAAGUGAAAGUAAGUUGUUUUUGGACGGGGGUUCGACUCCCCCCAUCUCCACCA
This 363-nucleotide transfer-messenger RNA is filed under the name Clostridiales bacterium 38-18. It matches the Rfam family "transfer-messenger RNA". Rfam says of the family: Bacterial tmRNA, also known as 10Sa RNA or SsrA, is named for its dual tRNA and mRNA-like properties. Its role is to liberate the mRNA from a stalled ribosome. To accomplish this part of the tmRNA is used as a reading frame that ends in a translation stop signal. Lineage: Bacteria; Bacillati; Bacillota; Clostridia; Eubacteriales. RNAcentral also lists the same sequence under 1 other name. The record is from RNAcentral.